CAGUCAUUAAGUGGCCUUGACUCUUGCUGGUCAACACACACCUUUCACUGCAGGUGGCUCUGCGUCCAGUAAGGCUGCUGCAUACUUCUGUAGUUGGAUUUCAAUCAUACGAUUUCAAUCAUAUGAAAAGAGGAAUCCCAGAGAGGAAAGCUUUUAAAUUUGUCAUCUAAGAUCAAAGAAGGCCCUCCCCCUGUACAGCUCCCCCCAGCUUCUGCUGUUUCUGCGACCACAAGGAGUGGGGAGAAGACCCAAGCCGGGGUCGCAGCAGUGACCCACCUACACAGGAGAGAAGACAAAGCAAGACAGCCUCUAUUUCUUCACCACGGCGACACCAUUCUUAUGUGUUCUGCCUGUGUUAAGGACAAAAGCUGCUGUUCACAAGAGAAAAAACGAUAAAAACUGGGGCUGGCCGGUGGCAUAGUGGCAUUUCCUUCCCAUGACAUGGCCUCUACUCUGGGGAAAAGGAUCUAUGAUUUCCAAAGCAAUUUUAUUUUUGGCUUCUGGUGCUGCACCUGACACGUGAGAGUGGUAUUAGAUGGGGGACCACACUUGUUCACCAGGAUGGAGCCUCCUGUUUCAUUUCACACCCCCUUCACACAGCCUCCUGCAACUGCUGAUUGUAUCUGGCCGGUACCCACAGGGCUGGAUUCUGGCCAAAGGGAGGAGACGCCCAGCACCAAGACCCCGAGGCAUCCUUUACUAUCCCUUUCUCAAACCCCAGAGCCACGCCAUUCCCAUGUCAUAAAACUUCUGAAGCGGGCACUGAAGCCAAGAGGGGCGGCGCUGACUCAAGCCGAGCCCUCGCCCUCCCCGGCUCCUCAGCCACAGGCUGGGCCAACAUCUCAAAGCAGCUCAAGAUGGUCCCAAGAGCGGCGAAGGCCUCCCAGGGCUCCACCGGGUGCCAGGCCAGAGGAAAGCGGGACAGGGGCGGGGGCCAAGGGCUGGAGACCCCACGGUGUUUCAUGGCACAGCGACACCAGCUCAGAGGCAGAUGGCCGUGGAGGAGCAGCCUGUGACAGAGAGAGGGUGCGGGCUCUGUGAGUCACGCCGGCAGGUGUGUUAUUAUCGAAGUGAUGUAGGGGUCUGGAAUGUGACUUAGAAGGCAGUAAGGAGACAUUAUCCAUAAACACAUUAACUGCUUCAAGUAAACGGCACUAAAAAGUGAAGGCAGCCCCAUUCUUGUGAAAUCUCUGCUCUCAGGCCAUGAAUGAGCAAAUAUAAGUGGUGCGUAAGCAGAGUAAGUGACACGGGCAGGCUGCCAUUUCUUUCUAGAGGAAGCCAGACGUUUGUUCCUUACUCUCUGCACUGCUCCCCGGCCCUGUCCCCCGACAUGAUUCCCAUGACCAUUUGAAACAGCCUUUCUGUACGUGAUAUCCUGUUAGUUCUUAAGAAAAUCUGACUCUUUCUUGCCAUCCUGACCCAGGAAGUAAAGCCUUCCCCUUUCUUGAAGUAUUACUAUUUGACUUCACGCUAGAGGGCAAGAGAGCUGUCACACUAGAAGGCAAGGGGUCCCCUAUUUGUUCCUGUCUUUCAGGCUCACAAAGGAUGUGUUUACAACCCACUGUGCACGUGCACAGAGCUCCUCCAGCUGGGGCCCUGGACAGUGAUCAAUGGCGGUCACUUCCAGCCUUCCAAUUGCUGACUGUAAUCCGAGACGCAGAAUGACCGUCUUCCAGGCUCGCUUCCACCAGCAACGUAGCUGCCGACGCCCCAGACCAGGCUCUUCUGAGCUCCAUGAGCCUGUCUCCAUCUGCCAACCCAGCAGCCUCACCUGAGUGCCCCUCAGGCAUCUCAGGGAGCAUUUUAUCAUCACCAAGAUCACCUCGGCAAAGACAGACUCAGGGGGCAGCCCUGACCAACGAGACCCAUAAGUCGAUGGUGACCUGUUCCAAUUUCCACAUCGUGUGUGUUCCACCUUCUGCUUCCCUGUCUGGGGAAUUAGGAUAGUUUACAAUUUGAAACUUGCUUCACCUUGUUUCCACUUGACUUUUUCCUUUUAAUAGUAUUAUUAUCAUCAGUAAUAAUACUAAUAGUACCUAUAUUUGCCCAUACUCGUGACUUUUUCAGUCCCUCUAGAUGUUGCAUAUUAUUUCAUUAUUAUUGUUUCAUGAUAACUUUAUAGGCAGUUGGUUUAUUUUGAGCAAAUUCAGUAUGCUAUUAAAGAGUAUCAAUACCCAUCUUUAGGUUGUAAUUUACUCAGUCUUCAUACAAAAGACAUUAGAUGCUGUCUUCAUACAUUAGCUCAAACUUUGGCUGAUGUCUGAUAUAAGAGAUUAGUUUUUCCCAGACAUAACUUUUUGCUUAACUAAAGGCUUUUUUCCUGAUUGGGAGAAAGGAGGAAAAAACUGACAUUUAUUGAAGCCUGAUAUAUAGCAGGCACCUUUUCAUAGCUGAUCUCACAGAGUUGUCCACUGGUCCUAAGAGACAGCUCUUAGUCCGUAUUAUAGACAGGAACGUGGGAAUAUUGCCCAAGGUCGCAGAGCUAAUAUGUGGCAGAUCCAGAAUUCAAAGUCUGGCUCAAAACAUUCCCAAAACGAGCCUGAAUUUCUGAUGUUAAAUGCAAGACUCUUAGAAUCUCAAAGCUAUAAGUAAGUAUUCAGCACUGAUAAGACUAAAUAAAUCAUAUGAAACCUAGUCAUAAAGACAGAGUCCAUAGGUCAGAAAUAAUCUUGUAAAAAAAAACCUGCACAGAAAAUUCAACUUGUAAACUUAAUUACUUGGUAGGGACACUUGAUUUUCAAUUACAUCACCUAAAGGAUAAC
RNAcentral lists this long non-coding RNA (2762 nucleotides) under Equus caballus (horse). Its description in RNAcentral is "lncRNA (ENSECAG00000047054.1)". Lineage: Eukaryota; Metazoa; Chordata; Mammalia; Perissodactyla; Equidae. The record is from RNAcentral.